This 4458-nucleotide long non-coding RNA is filed under the name Homo sapiens (human). Its description in RNAcentral is "non-protein coding lnc-FGFR1OP-2:5". Lineage: Eukaryota; Metazoa; Chordata; Mammalia; Primates; Hominidae. The record is from RNAcentral.
AGGCGGUUGCUAGGCUCCAGCGGCUCCCGGCCAGCGGGGACGUGGAGGUGACAUUUCUCUGACCCACAGGACUGUGGGCGCCCUGCCGAGCGUCGCGCGGUCUUGGGGCGACCUGCAGUGGGGCCCCUGCGGCGCAGCGCGCGGUGGGACUGGCCGGGUUCCCGCGCCGCCCAGGGCCUGUGUCUGCGCCGGUUCCUGGCAAGGGCACCUUGGCCGGGCGGCCCGCGUCCCCUGCGCUUCCCACACCCACGUGGGCGGACCCGGCCCGCAAGCUGGGCCAGCCUGCGGUUUCCGGGCACUGGGGAGUGCGCAGAGCCCCGGGCCAGCGACCGCAGCCGGGGCCCCUGGCUUCUCCCGAGCACUUUCCCCCGGACCGGUCCCUCCAGGGUGGCGGGCGGCACCCAGGGCCGGCGCUCCUCACCAACGCGCUGCAGCUACGGGCUCAGGAGGGAGCCGCAGCGUCGGAGGAGGAAAGCAUUUAAGAAUAGCACAAAGCCUUAGGCUCGAGGAAGCGUGACUGCUUACGUGUUGAAAAUAAAGGUUCUGUAAGUCCCACCGCGGGUGCAUAUUGAAAAGAAAGGGAUCAUUAGCACGCGACCCUCGCCUAGGAGUAUAUAAACCGCAGCACGACUUUCGGAUCACAAAGGCAGAGAAAAGAACACAUUGAAGGCUUUUGCUCACUUUUCCAAGUUGUUUCGUUUCGUUUUGUUUCUAAUGUGGACGAUCAUUUAAAAUGCCUCUGGUGGCCGGGCGCGGUGACUGACGCCUGUAAUCACAGCACUUUGGGAGGCCGAGGCGGGCGGAUCACCUGAGGUCAGGAAUUCGAGACCAGCCUGGGCAAUACGGUUAAACCCCCUCUCUACUAAAAAUAAAAAAAUUAGCUGGGCGUGGUGGCAUGUGCUUGUAGUCCCAGCUACUUGGGAGGCUGAGACAGAAGAAUCGCUUGAACCCGGGAGGCGGAAGUUGCAAUGAGCCAAGAUUGCGCCAUUGCAUUCCAGCCUGGGCAACAGAGCAAGACCCUGUCUCCAAAAAAAACAAAUAAAUAUAACAAAAUUCCUCUGGUAGCCGGGUGCGGUGGCUCACGCCUGUAAUCUCAGCACUUUGGGAGGCUGAGGCAGGUGGAUCACUUGAAGUCAAGAGUUUGAGACCAGCCUGGCCAAUAUAGUGAAACCUCAUCUCUACUGAAAAUACAAAAAUUAGCCAGGCGUGGUGAUGCGCUCCUGUGAUCCCAGCUACUCGGGAGGCUGAGGCGUGAGAAUCGGUUGAACCCGGGAGGUGGAGGUUGUAGUGAUCCGAGAUUGUGCCAUUGCACUCCAGCCUGGGCAACAGAGGGAGAUCCUGUCUCUAAAAUAAAAAAUAAAAGAAAUGCCUUUGGUGAACAGGAAUUCUCAACAUUAGUGACCCGCAGUGUAUUAGUGUUAAUAAUGGACAUCCCCUUUGAUCCAGCAAGCCCAUCUAGAGAUUUCCUAGGAUAGACAAGCCAGUUUGUGCAAUUUCAUGUGUACAGCAUUGUUUUUAGUAUGGAAAGAUUAGAGUUUACAUAUCUACCCAUAGGGAGAGAGUUAAAUAAAUUAUGGUGCAUCCGUUUAGUGGAUUAGUAUACAGCCAUUAGGAAUAAAGGAAUUCUUUAUGUGCUGAUAUGAAAUAUCUUUUUUAUUUUCAAGAAAAAAACCCAGGUUCUGAAUAGUGUAUAAAGUAUGCUACUCAUUGUGCAUAGGGACAAAGAAAAUAUAUACAUUCAUGUUUGCAAAGAUACUGGAGAAAUGUUAGUAGUGGCUGCCUCUAAGGAUGACCAAGAGUGACACUGACUUUUCAUUGUAUCUUCCUUUGUUCUUUUUGAAAUUUGUACAGUCUACUUAUGCUAUCUAUUCAAAAUAAGUGGUGUUAAGAAGAAAUGCCUUUGAGAAUGAAAAUGGUAAGCCCUUGAUUGAGUGGGGUUCAUUUUCUGUUAGGAUCGUGGUCUCUAUUGGUCACAGCUGACCUUGAUCGUCACUGAAAGUGUAUCUCAUUACACAAUAUUGCAGUCUUGAACACCAGGAAGGUUGUUCUGUUCCACAUGAACAUGCUUCAUGAUGGGGUUAGGAAUGUACAACCUGUGAAAAGUGAGGGAGUCUUGAUUAUUAAUAAUAAUAUUAUUAAUAGCUACCUUUUCUUGAUCAUUAGGCACUAUUUGUACAUUAUUUCUCCUUCUCACAUCAACCCAGAAGGUAGGUAUAAGGAAACUGAGUGGCUUCUUGAAUGAAGCCAAACUGCUCUGCAAGAUUGGUGGAAAAGGAGACUCUCCAUGUGCUAACAGGUUCCUGGAUCUCAUAGCUGCUCUGUCUUAGCCCUUAAUAUGUUUCUUUUCCUCAUGGAUGGUGGUUCUGAAACCUGAGCUGUCAGAAGAAUCCUUGGCAGAUUCCUAGAUCCCAGCCUCAGACUCAGAAGGUCUGGAGUUGGGGCUGAAAGCUGCGUGGCUAAUGGGCACUGCAGGUGACUCUGAGGCUGCUGGUCAGUGUCUAGCACUUGGAGAAACUCUACUGAGGGCACCUGCCCCUAAUGCACUGUUGCCACCACUGGGCUGGGGUCAAGAGGCUUUACUUCCCACAUUUGGGCCUCAAUUGGGACCUCUGAGCUUUCCACUAGUUUCCGUUCCAUGAAGGAGUACAAAUUGGAGUAUGUAAAGACAAAAGACAUACGUAAGUGGAUAAUUUGGGUUUGAACUAAGUUCUCUGCGACUCUCAAAGCCAUACUUCCCCCAUGUUGCCACAAAAAGUAUUUGUUUCAUGUUGCCAUGUAUCUCUUACUUCAAAUAUGAAGCAGGAAUGUGAUCUAAAGCAUAAGAACAUAGCAAUAGAUAGACCCAUGUACAUGAUUUCGUAAAACUUUAGAAAGGCCAGUCCUACAUGGUUUGUCCAUAUUUGGACGGUGUGUGGAAUGCACAAAUGAAAGCAUCACUGGCUAUUCUGAACCCCAGGUUUGUGGAAGUGAGUGUAAAGGCCCAGCAGUGAGCCCCAAUCUCACCUGCCCAUCAAAGUUCAGAAACGACAAUCAGAAUAGGCCGCACUUGGCGCUUCCCUGUAGACACAGGAUCUGUGAGUUUGGACAGAUUUCUGGUCAGUUUGGAAGGAAGCUGGCCUCUGUUAACAGAGCACCCCUUAUGGGUCAGUGUUGUGCAGGCAGUCCACAUACACUGUGUGUAUGCGAUGACAGUGCGUCUGCUUGUAGAAGGGGCUGGGUCCCCUCUGCAGAGCCUCCGCAUGGGGCUGCAUGACUGGUUCCGGCCGACUUGCUGGGGAGCGCACAGCCUGUCCACAAAGGGAAUCUUCAUCCUUCCUGAUCUGUAGAGCCAUUUGCAAUGCGUGAUGGCAACUGCUUAACUUCAGUUUUCGUCCCUGGGCCAGAGAUUUCUGUGCCCUGGGAUAAUAAACGUAUUAUCUAAAGAGCUUUUAUUUCUUUCUAGAGAAUAAGGAAAAUGAUACUCUGCAGAAUUUCUAUUUCUUUUGUAAUUAUCUCAGGGGAAGGUAGUUAUUAAGUGUUCACUGAUUAGGAUUAAUGUUUCCAAUUUUUGUCAAGAACAGAAUGUAUGUAUUACUAAUUUAACCAUAAUUUCAAUCAAAACUGUGUCAUUAAAAAUGUUGGCAGUCAUGCAUUUCCUGCAUGGUUAUGAAUUUUUUCAUGUAUCUAUAGUAUUUUUCUAACAGUCUAAUUUUAAUUCAUUCACUUUCUCACGAAAAUGUAUUUUUUUUCCAUUUCAGCAUGUAGUACUUGUGUUACCUUUUCACGAGGCCCACACUCCUCCAAGGAGGCUGCUGAUUGUCUCUAAACUGAUUACCUCCAUUUGUUCUUUCCUUGAUCUUACAGUGUCCAUCAGCUUCCUAUGAUUGAAGAAAAGCUUCCACUUGUAAUAAACCAACUUCUCUCAUCCAGUUAUCAACAUAGACCAAAAAAAAAAAGAAAAAAAAAAGGCCAGGCGCAGUGGCUCAUGCCUGUAAUCCCAGCACUUUGGGAGGUCAAGGUGGGCAGAUCACUUGAAGUCAGGAGUUCAAGACCAGUCUGGCCAACAUGGUGAAACCCUGUCUCUACUAAAAAUACAGAAAUUAGCCGGGAAUUGGUGGUGCGCACCUAUAGUUCCAGCUACUCAGGAGGCUGAGGCAGGUGAAUCGCUUGAAUCCAGGAGGCGGAGGUUGCAUUGAGAGGAGAUCAUGCCACUGCACUGGGCGGCAGAGCAAAACUCUGUCUCAAGAAGAAAAAGAAAAAAGAAAAAAGCGGAGUCGUUCUGGUGAUGAAAAUGGUCUAACAUUGAUUGUAGUGAGGGUUGUGCAGCUCUGUGAAUAUGCUAAAGAACCAUCGAAUUGGACACUUUAAAUGGGUGCAAAUUAUAUUCCAAUAAACUAUCUGUAGAAACUUAAGAGUUUAUUAUUAUUAUUAUUUUGAGACGGAGUCUUGGUCUGUCGCCCAGGCCGGAGUGCAGUGGCG